AGAGCAACCUCAAAGAAGGAGAUGACCCCCCAGCAGAGGCACCAGGGGGGCAGGCUUCUCCAAGCCAUCAAGCUCAGGAGGAGACAACAAAACUUCAGUUUACAGAAAGUGAGAGGGUCACGUCUGCAACAAGUAAGAGAGUACUGGAGUUCUUAGAAACCAGCCAUCGGGAAGACUCUGAGGACAUACAGAGCAUGGAAACCCAACUGAGGGGCAUGGGGUUAGCCUCAGCUAUCAUCCAUAAACAGCUGGAAGCAAUAGUUAAUCUCCUCAGCCAGCCUCCAAGGGCUGUCCCUGCACAGCCAGAUAGCUCCUUCUCUGCCACACCCUGUGUAGAAAAGGUAGAUGUUGUCACCAGUGUAUGUAGAAGCUUUAUGUGAUCCAGAGAGUGAGUUGCUCUUUGCAGUCAUAAGAGAUGGCUACUGCCUGGUGUAGCUCUCGCUUGCAGAGUGGCAAUGGAACAAGCCUUGUUAUCAGUCACCAUGGCUAGGGAGGGAAGAAAAGAGCACGUGAGGCUUAAUCUACAUAUGUUGCUGAAAUAUUGCAUCAUUGCCUUGAUUCAGAUAAUCACCCAACCCCUGAAGACCAUCUACCAGAUCCUACUGAUUAUUAUUGAACACUUUCUCGUCAACUUUCAGGACAAGAUGCAACAAGUUUCCCAUACCACAGAAGUACUCCAUGCUUCAGUCUCCACUCUUGAUUCCUUCCAAGAUCUGUCUAGACAAAUCCUCUUCCAAAUAUGGGAGAAAGUGACCAAGGAGGAGGAACGUAUGAAUGAGCUGCUGGAGUAUGUGGUGUACAGUACACCUCUCUGUUGGUUUGUGGGACCCUUCAAUGCUUUAAGAGGUAGAACAUAA
Molecule: long non-coding RNA, 857 nt
Filed under: Gopherus evgoodei (Goodes thornscrub tortoise)
Lineage: Eukaryota; Metazoa; Chordata; Testudines; Testudinidae
Description: lncRNA (ENSGEVG00005009655.1)
Source: RNAcentral